This 458-nucleotide ribosomal RNA is filed under the name uncultured bacterium. RNAcentral's name for it is "partial 16S ribosomal RNA". It matches the Rfam family "Bacterial small subunit ribosomal RNA", at positions 338 to 795 of the family's 1533-position model. The record is from RNAcentral.
CCUACGGGAGGCAGCAGUGAGGAAUAUUGGUCAAUGGGCGAGAGCCUGAACCAGCCAAGUCGCGUGAGGGAGUACUGCCCUAUGGGUUGUAAACCUCUUUUGUCGGGGAGCAAAAGCCGGACGUUUCCGGCUGUUGUCGUACCCGCAUAAAAAGCAUCGGCUAACUCCGUUCCAGCAGCCGCGGUAAUACGGAGGAUGCGAGCGUUAUCCGGGUUUAUUGGGUUUAAAGGGUGCGCAGGCGGAGUUUUAAGUCAGCGGUAAAAUCGUGGGGCUCAACCCCCUCCAGCCGUUGAAACUGGGGAUCUAGAGUGUGCGAGAGGUAGGCGGAAUGCGUGGUGUAGCGGUGAAAUGCAUAGAUAUCACGCAGAACCCCGAUUGCGAAGGCAGCAUACCGGUGCACAACUGACGCUCAGGCACGAAAGCGUGGGUAUCGAACAGGAUUAGAUACCCCUGUAGUC